GAUGAACGCUGGCGGCGUGCCUAAUACAUGCAAGUCGAGCGAACGGACGAGAAGCUUGCUUCUCUGAUGUUAGCGGCGGAGGGGUGAGUAACACGUGGAUAACCUACCUAUAAGACUGGGAUAACUUCGGGAAACCGUAGCUAAUACCGGAUAAUAUUUUGAACCGCAUGGUUCAAAAGUGAAAGACGGUCUUGCUGUCAGUUAUAGAUGGAUCCGCGCUGCAUUAGCUAGUUGGUAAGGUAACGGCUUACCAAGGCAACACUUACUAGCCGACCUGAGAGGGUGAUCGCCCACACUGGAACUGAGACAGCGUCCAGACUCCUACGGGAUGCACCAGUGUCGCAUCUUCCUCAAUGGUCAAAAGCCUUACGAACCAACGCCACGUGAGUGAUGAAGGUCUUCUGAUCGUAAAACUCUGUUAUUAGGGAAAAACCUAUUUGUAAGUAACUGUUCACAUCUUAACGGUACCUAAUCAGAAAGCCACGGCUAACUACGUG
This 497-nucleotide ribosomal RNA is filed under the name uncultured bacterium. RNAcentral's name for it is "partial 16S ribosomal RNA". It matches the Rfam family "Bacterial small subunit ribosomal RNA", at positions 28 to 507 of the family's 1533-position model. The record is from RNAcentral.